This 498-nucleotide ribosomal RNA is filed under the name uncultured bacterium. RNAcentral describes it as "partial 16S ribosomal RNA". It matches the Rfam family "Bacterial small subunit ribosomal RNA", at positions 30 to 523 of the family's 1533-position model. The record is from RNAcentral.
AUUGAACGCUGGCGGCAUGCCUUACACAUGCGAGUCGAACGGUAACAGGUCUUCGGAUGCUGACGAGUGGCGAACGGGUGAGUAAUACAUCGGAACGUGCCUAGUAGUGGGGGAUAACUACUCGAAAGAGUGGCUAAUACCGCAUGAGAUCUACGGAUGAAAGCAGGGGAUCGCAAGACCUUGUGCUACUAGAGCGGCCGAUGGCAGAUUAGGUAGUUGGUGGGAUAAAAGCUUACCAAGCCGACGAUCUGUAGCUGGUCUGAGAGGACGAUCGGCCACACUGGGACUGGGCCACGGCCAAGACUCCUACGGGAGGCAGCAGUGGGGAAUUUAGGACAAUGGGCGAAAGCCUGAUCCAGCAAUGCCGCGGGCAGGAUGAAGGCCUUCGGGUUGUAAACUGCUUUUGUACGGAACGAAAAGCCCCGGGUUAAUACCCUGGGGUCAUGACGGUACCGUAAGAAUAAGCACCGGCUAACUACGUGCCAGCAGCCGCGGUAA